This is a long non-coding RNA of Sinocyclocheilus grahami, 247 nucleotides long. RefSeq lists it as uncharacterized. The transcript is spliced from 3 exons. Lineage: Eukaryota; Metazoa; Chordata; Actinopteri; Cypriniformes; Cyprinidae. The record is from RefSeq and is a predicted model, not a curated record.
CUCUCUCUGAAGUGACGGGCAGCUGUCAGGUUUGAGGAUGGAUGAGUUACAGGAUGUGCAGUUGACUGAGAUCAAACCCCUCUUGACAAACAAGAAUGGACAGAACUUCCAGGACUUUGAUUGUCAGGAGCAUGACAUUGAGACUCCUCACGGUGUCCUUCAUGUGACUUUGAGAGGGACUCCUAAAGGCAACAGACCGGUCAUUCUCACCUAUCAUGACAUUGGACUCAACCGUAAGUUGUCCCAU